UACGGAGGGUGCAAGCGUUAUCCGGAUUCACUGGGUUUAAAGGGUGCGUAGGUGGGAAUGUAAGUCAGUGGUGAAAUCUCCGUGCUUAACAUGGAAACUGCCAUUGAUACUAUGUUUCUUGAAUUUUCUGGAGGUCAGCGGAAUAUGUCAUGUAGCGGUGAAAUGCUUAGAUAUGACAUAGAACACCAAUUGCGAAGGCAGCUGGCUACACAAAUAUUGACACUGAGGCACGAAAGCGUGGGGAUCAAACAGG
Molecule: ribosomal RNA, 253 nt
Filed under: uncultured bacterium
Lineage: Bacteria
Description: partial 16S ribosomal RNA
Rfam family: Bacterial small subunit ribosomal RNA
Source: RNAcentral